GGGUCAAUGAUGAGAACUCAUAUUGUCUUGAAGAGAGAUGAUCACCUAAAAAUCAUGCUCAAUAGGAUUACACUGAGGCCU
This 81-nucleotide small nucleolar RNA is filed under the name Zalophus californianus (California sea lion). RNAcentral describes it as "Small nucleolar RNA SNORD115 (ENSZCAG00015006294.1)". It matches the Rfam family "Small nucleolar RNA SNORD115". Rfam says of the family: HBII-52 is a member of the C/D class of snoRNAs, which contain the C (UGAUGA) and D (CUGA) box motifs. HBII-52 is encoded in a tandemly repeated array with another C/D snoRNA, HBII-85, in the Prader-Willi syndrome (PWS) region of chromosome 15. The record is from RNAcentral. Lineage: Eukaryota; Metazoa; Chordata; Mammalia; Carnivora; Otariidae.